Trachemys scripta elegans is the source of this 72-nucleotide non-coding RNA. Lineage: Eukaryota; Metazoa; Chordata; Testudines; Emydidae. The record is from the annotation of a RefSeq genome assembly.
GACUUUGUGGCACAAUGGUAGUGUGUUUGACUCCAAAUCAGAAGGUUGUGUGUUCAAAUCACACCAGGGUCA